CGAGUACCCAACCCAAAUACAUCCCCGUUCCAUCCCCACUCCCCUGCCGCCGCCGUCCAUCCCCACCUCCCUGCUGUCGCUCCACCACCUAUGUCCCCGCCGCCGUGCCAUCGCUGCCCUCGUGCUCCAGCGUCACCCUCGUCCUCGCUGCCCUCGUCCUCACGCUUUCCCCACCCCACCGACACAUGUUCCCUACCAUCGCCGGGGUCGCAGCCGCCGAUAGACCGACCCCGAGAUCCGUCCGUCCACCGUCCCCAACCCCAUUCCACAUCCCCGAGCCCUCGACCCCAUCCCCUCCUUCCUUCCUUGCAGUCACAGCCGCCGAGAGCUCCGUCCGCUGCCGCCUUCACCGACCAGCCCCCUACCCCACCCCCAAGAUGAAGUGAAUGCCUCUUAGGGAUUCUAGCGCCACCGCCAACCACCAUCGGAGACUGCCAUCCGCAAGCGCCAGCAUCGCCAUAACUACCGAAUCACCUCGGGCUGGUGGGAGUGGGCGUUGCUAGGACCAUUAAACAGUCCGAUGCGAGCCAUAUAUUUGAUAUUAAGCAAGUUGUCUGUGGAUGUUCAAUACCCACCUAAUUUGAGCUCCCCGUUUCCUUAUGCAGGGUGGUUGAUACAUGUCUUCACAUUUUUCAGAGCAACGUGCAGUGGAAGAAGCAGCCUAUGAACUGAAAUAGUUUGCAUAAGAAAUAGGCGAUGUACUCAGCCACCUACUACACAUGGAUGUGAUGACUUCGGAGUGUUCUGCAGCAUUUGGCUGUUUGCAGUAUUUUGGACCAGCCAACUUGUGGUCAUGAAUCUUAUGUCUGUUUUGGACCAUUUGGUGCUUCAAGUGUUUUGGAGCAUAUAUCUUGUGCUCAUGGGUGUGAUAUAAGUGUUUUGGUUCAUUUAAUGUUAGAACUCUUUUAGAACAGCAAAUAGUGGUCCCUUUAUGUGGCUUGUGUUUUCUCGAUGGUGGUCAAAAUGGCCAAACUUUGCUAUGUAAGGACUGUCUUGUUUUUGAACUUCUGAUCAAUAUAUAUAUGUAUGUUUGUGAACA
Triticum dicoccoides is the source of this 1039-nucleotide long non-coding RNA. RefSeq lists it as uncharacterized. The record is from RefSeq and is a predicted model, not a curated record. NCBI's taxonomy places the organism in Eukaryota, Viridiplantae, Streptophyta, Magnoliopsida, Poales, Poaceae. The transcript is spliced from 4 exons.